AACCAUUUGUAUUUAUUUUGCCUUCUGUCUGAAUUAUGUUAAUAACAAUCAUUAAAACUUUCAACAACGGAUCUCUUGGUUCUCGCAUCGAUGAAGAACGCAGCGAAAUGCGAUAAGUAGUGUGAAUUGCAGAAUUCAGUGAAUCAUCGAAUCUUUGAACGCACAUUGCGCCUCCUGGUAUUCCGGGAGGCAUGCCUGUUCGAGCG
RNAcentral lists this ribosomal RNA (206 nucleotides) under Otidea mirabilis. RNAcentral describes it as "5.8S ribosomal RNA". The stretch from base 56 to 206 matches the Rfam family "5.8S ribosomal RNA". Rfam says of the family: 5.8S ribosomal RNA (5.8S rRNA) is a component of the large subunit of the eukaryotic ribosome. The record is from RNAcentral. Lineage: Eukaryota; Fungi; Ascomycota; Pezizomycetes; Pezizales; Pyronemataceae.